AGAUCAAUAUUUCGGUCAUGCCGUUGGUAUGCACUGUUAUAAUUGAUUUCUCACCUUCUAAAGAACCGUAAUGCCAUUAAUUUGGUGUUACGGGGAAUUAGGACUGUUACCUUGAAAAAAUUAGAGUGUUUAAAGCAGGCUCACGCUUGAAUACAUUAGCAUGGAAUAAUGAAAUAGGACAUCCGAUUCUAUUUUGUUGGUUUCUAGGAUCGAUGUA
This 217-nucleotide ribosomal RNA is filed under the name uncultured Glomeromycotina. RNAcentral's name for it is "partial small subunit ribosomal RNA". The stretch from base 24 to 217 matches the Rfam family "Eukaryotic small subunit ribosomal RNA", at positions 669 to 864 of the family's 1831-position model. Lineage: Eukaryota; Fungi; Glomeromycota. The record is from RNAcentral.